UCACAAAGGAAGCAAAAGGAAGCGAGGACAUAAGAAAUGGGUCUGCAAGUUUUGUUCGAUAAAGAAACCAAAUAAAAGCUGACAAGAAGAGACAAAAUAGUGCAGAGCUCUCUUCUUUCUCUCAGUCAACACACGUCCAUAACAGGUUAAGAAAGGAGGGGGAGAGAGGGAGAGUUGGCCGCGGGGGGAGCCAUUGGAAGCGAGAAGGAGAGAUUGGAGAGAGAGAUCUGCGAGAGUGAGAAGCGGAGUCGAGAACGAACGACGCAUCCUACGGCGACCAUCGCGUCCGAACCUUGGACGACGACCUCUCCCGGCCAACGUCCCCAGCACCCCACCCCCCGGCGUCCGUGUUUCCGGUGAGCCCUUUUCUUGGUCUCGAACCCCCAUACCCGAAGAUCUCGGCUCGGAGGUGUCGAGGCAGUCAACCAUGGCACGAUUUGUGUCGAGCGCACCCUUUAACCGUCGUCUCCAAGCCAGGUGUGCUAAGUUUGGGUGAGCUGAUGUGGUUAUUUUGGCUGGUCUGGUGAUGGUUUCCGUUGGGUCUAUAUCUCGAUUCGAGUUUGAAAAAAUAUUCAAUGUCUCAUCCUCGACUCUUGCUCACCACAUGUUUGACAAUAUGCCCAACUCAGCCCGUGUACUGGCUGUGCUGAUUUCCAUUUGUUCUUACGUGCUUAUACAGCAAGUUCGACAUCAUUAUAAACUCUUUGUUGCUUGUUGAGCAUUACUUUCAUCGUCGAA
Syzygium oleosum is the source of this 738-nucleotide long non-coding RNA. RefSeq lists it as uncharacterized. The record is from RefSeq and is a predicted model, not a curated record. Lineage: Eukaryota; Viridiplantae; Streptophyta; Magnoliopsida; Myrtales; Myrtaceae. The transcript is spliced from 2 exons.